AUUGAACGCUGGCGGCAGGCCUAACACAUGCAAGUCGAACGGUAACAGGAUAGCUUGCUAUCGCUGACGAGUGGCGGACGGGUGAGUAAUGCUUAGGAACUUGCCUUUGCGAGGGGGAUAACCAUUGGAAACGAUGGCUAAUACCGCAUAAUACCUUAGGGUCAAAGUGGGCUUAUGCUCACGCGCGAAGAGAGGCCUAAGUGAGAUUAGCUAGUUGGUGGGGUAAAGGCUCACCAAGGCGACGAUCUUUAGCUGUUCUGAGAGGAAGAUCAGCCACACUGGGACUGAGACACGGCCCAGACUCCUACGGGAGGCAGCAGUGGGGAAUAUUGCGCAAGUGGGGGCAACCCUGACGCAGCCAUGCCGCGUGUGUGAAGAAGGCCUUCGGGU
RNAcentral lists this ribosomal RNA (390 nucleotides) under uncultured Gammaproteobacteria bacterium. Its description in RNAcentral is "bacterial SSU rRNA". It matches the Rfam family "Bacterial small subunit ribosomal RNA", at positions 30 to 423 of the family's 1533-position model. Lineage: Bacteria; Pseudomonadati; Pseudomonadota; Gammaproteobacteria. The record is from RNAcentral.